This 253-nucleotide ribosomal RNA is filed under the name uncultured bacterium. RNAcentral describes it as "partial 16S ribosomal RNA". It matches the Rfam family "Bacterial small subunit ribosomal RNA", at positions 524 to 776 of the family's 1533-position model. The record is from RNAcentral.
UACGGAGGGAGCAAGCGUUACUCGGAAUUAUUGGGCGUAAAGGGCGCGUAGGCGAUUUGGCAAGUCUUGUGUGAAAGCCCACAGCUUAACUGUGGAAGUGCACAAGAUACUGCUGAAUUUGAGUUCAGGAGAGGAAGGCAGAAUUCCUGGUGUAGCGGUGAAAUGCGUAGAUAUCAGGAGGAAUACCAGUGGCGAAGGCGGCCUUCUGGACUGACACUGACGCUGAGGCGCGAAAGCUAGGGGAGCAAACGGG